GGCCGCGGGAGUUCGAUUCAGGCCUAACACAGGCAAGUCGAGGGGCAGCACUAGGUAGCAAUACAUGGGUGGCGACCGGCGCACGGGUGCGUAACGCGUAUCCAACCUUCCCGAUACUCUUGGAUAGCCUUCCGAAAGGGAGAUUAAUACAGGAUGGGGUUUCAAUUCCGCAUGUUAUUGAAACUAAAGAUUUAUCGGUAUCGGAUGGGGAUGCGUGACAUUAGAUAGUAGGCGGGGUAACGGCCCACCUAGUCUACGAUGUCUAGGGGUUCUGAGAGGAAGGUCCCCCACACUGGAACUGAGACACGGUCCAGACUCCUACGGGAGGCAGCAGUGAGGAAUAUUGGUCAAUGGUCGGAAGACUGAAAAGGCCAAGUAGCGUGAAGG
RNAcentral lists this ribosomal RNA (387 nucleotides) under uncultured bacterium. Its description in RNAcentral is "bacterial SSU rRNA". It matches the Rfam family "Bacterial small subunit ribosomal RNA", at positions 29 to 407 of the family's 1533-position model. The record is from RNAcentral.